UACGUAGGCAGCGAGCGUUGUUCGGAUUUACUGGGCGUAAAGAGCGUGUAGGCGGCCAGGUAGGUCUGCUGUGAAAACUCGAGGCUCAACCUCGAGACGUCGAUGGAAACCAUCUGGCUAGAGUCCGGAAGAGGAGAGUGGAAUUCCCGGUGUAGCGGUGAAAUGCGCAGAUAUCGGGAAGAACACCCGUGGCUAAGGCGGCUCUCUAGUACGGUACUGACGCUGAGACGCGAAAGCGUGGGGAGCGAACAGG
RNAcentral lists this ribosomal RNA (253 nucleotides) under uncultured bacterium. Its description in RNAcentral is "partial 16S ribosomal RNA". It matches the Rfam family "Bacterial small subunit ribosomal RNA", at positions 524 to 776 of the family's 1533-position model. The record is from RNAcentral.